AGAUUAAAGGAAGCCAAGAAAGUCUCCAUUGAUCAGGAUUUUAAAAACUACCUCUAUGAGACUCCUGGACAAUGUGUCCCAUAUGCUGUCAUAGAAGGUGUAGUGAGAUCUGUGAAGGAAAUUCUGAGCUGCCA
Long non-coding RNA from Etheostoma spectabile (orangethroat darter), 134 nucleotides. RefSeq lists it as uncharacterized. NCBI's taxonomy places the organism in Eukaryota, Metazoa, Chordata, Actinopteri, Perciformes, Percidae. The transcript is spliced from 3 exons. The record is from RefSeq and is a predicted model, not a curated record.